ACCAUUUUCAUAGAAUCAUUAUGAUGAUUAACUAAAUUGUGGAUAAAUAAAAACCAAAAUACCAGUGGAAUGAAAUAUUGUCAUUACUUGGCCAUGAGCUUUUAAGUGUGUGUGUCUAUGUUUCUAGCGGGGCACAUGCCUGUAAUCAUAGCUCUUGGUAGRAAGUGACAAGAUUAGGCCUUGAGUAGAGCAAGUUUGAGGCUAAUAUGGGCUGUGUGARACACUAUCUCAAAGCAAACAGUAUGUUCCUGAGAUAGGGCUGUAACUCAAUSACAAAGCACUGUCUAAUAUCGCGAAGCCCCCCAAGUUCAAUCCACAGCCACUCAGAGGCUCCAGAGUCCUCCCUUCUACUCCUAUUGAGUACAGUUUCAUUAGAGGUGAUACACACCAUUUUUCCAAAUGGCUAAUUGUGCCUUUUACAUAUAGUUGAUGAUAAAAAUACAUAUUGUGAAAUAAAAUAUUGUAUAUAUGUGUGCAUGCACACAUCUACUGUUCUGAACAGAGAACCCAGGACUUUAUGAAGGACUUUAUUAACUAUUGCCCCUAAGCCAUGAAAGAUAUUUCUUUGACUGGCAUAUUCGCAGCAUGAUUUUUCCACUCUUCUGCACUCUUCAACUUGUGGUUCGUGUAUGCAUGUGUGUACAAACACACAUACACAUGCAGUGUAGAGGUGUCACUAUUUUGACCAGGCUCGUCC
This 697-nucleotide unclassified non-coding RNA is filed under the name Mus musculus (house mouse). Lineage: Eukaryota; Metazoa; Chordata; Mammalia; Rodentia; Muridae. The record is from RNAcentral.